This is a long non-coding RNA of Rhodamnia argentea, 102 nucleotides long. RefSeq lists it as uncharacterized. The record is from RefSeq and is a predicted model, not a curated record. The transcript has 3 exons. Lineage: Eukaryota; Viridiplantae; Streptophyta; Magnoliopsida; Myrtales; Myrtaceae.
GUGGUGGUGUUCUUCAUGGCCGCCGUGAUCAUCUUCAGUUUCUUCAGCAGGGCGUAGAGGGUAACCACCGUGAUGACCGCCGUGGUGGUGUCCUUCAUGGCC